UGAAAGAGUUGCAAGGAUCGGCAACUAGAGCAAAUUCUCCUCAAAGUAUAGUUUCCUGUGAAGAUUUUUUGUGGCCACAUCAGAUGGGUAAGGUUUUCAUCUAUGCGUGAUCAUAAAGCGAGAGCUCUCCCCUUCUGUCCCUUGAACUGGAUCAUGUUAUCACAUGCCCUGUAUUUUGGUUGGAGUUUUUAAUUUCCAUAUUCUUUGGGUUUGUAUUGCCUUGGACAAAUGUGUGUAGAUUUGUUGUCGUAUUAUUUUUAAGUAACUUUUUGUGUAGGCAUCAAGGUUUCAUCGUGUGGGCCUCAAAGGUAGGCCUAGGCAGCAUUGUAAUGCCUGCUGGUACCGGCCUAGCCGGGUGUCUCUUGAAAUGCCCUUUGGGUUCUGAAAUUCAGAUUCUACUCAUGGAUGCAGUCAGAGGAUUUGUGUAUUGAACAAAGGCUGAUGGAAUAUUUAGUCCUGCCAAGCCUGGUCCUUGUUUUAAAGUACAAUGUCCCCUUCUUGGUGAGCUCUCCUAACCAACCGCUCUAUUAGGAAUUGGGGUCUGCCCCCUUCCCUACGGCCCCCACACACCUUAUUAUCUUUCCUCUACAUUAUUUUUCUAUGGCUCUUCUUACAAACUGACUGACUUGUAUAGUGAAUUUAUUUUUCUGUGUUGUGUUUCUUCCCUCCCCUCCACCCUCUGACUUUCUAGAAUGUACGCUCCACAAGGGCAGGGGGUUUUAGCUGUUACAUUGUGUUUCUUAAUCAAAAAAGAGGCCAUUAUGUCAAUUGGACGCACCCCUCGGGUUCUUAAAAAGGAAAACUAGGAGCUGAUGUGGAUUCCUUUGUGCCCUCUAGUCCUGCCUUCAGUGACGUCUGGCGCCCGUGUUCAGGUGACUGGCCUGAGCCGUGUGUGCAGGCCACAGUGCUGCCCCUGCUGCGGCCUUUUGUCCUCAGACCCUCGGCUUUAGUGCAGCACUCAAGCUGAUGCCACUGGUACUUUUUACACUAGACUCUUAUUUUGACUUGGACCGUGUGAGACCAUUUGACUGUUAUCCAAAGUGCUCAGUCAAAAAUGGACUGACUAAUGAAUCAUUCGAUCCCAAAUCACCACAAUAUAGGGGAAUGAGAGACUUUGAAGCCAAGGUGUAUGUUCAUACAUCUUGCCAUCUCUUCCCAAAUAUAGUCUGAAAGUUUUUAAGAUAAAUUGACUUUAACAAAUCGUCCUGAGUUUAAGCAAGACCUUUGCUUACUGUAUAAGCUGGCAGGCUCCCACAGUGAAGUGCCAUCAUGAUCCUUUCCUUCAACGGGGCAUAAAGGACUACCCCAGCCCCAGGGGAUUGGCAUGAUUGUUAGUAGGUAUUUGGUCUUCCCCAACCUGGUUUUUCAUUAACGAUCCCAAUAUUGGCAGUAACACUGGGGGCUUGUCUCCUGCGGCCCCCGUGUGUAAACAUUAUCAAGGCUUUCUCGAGGGCUGGGGGAGCUUUUAGCCCAGGAUCCCUCUCGGCUCGGGAGAGGAUAAACUGCUUUCCUUGGGGGAAAAUCUCUCAUCUGUGGAUUAGGGGCAUUACCCCAGAUGGUCAUAAAAUUUCUUCUCUUCAGUUUUAUUAUUUGAAAAUGUGUAGUAGAUGAAUGAUUUAGAAAAGAUCUCUCAAAGGCCAAGGGACCAAUUUAGAAUUACAUCUCUUAGAAGAGUUUAUUAAAAGUGUAAUAAAUGGGUUUAAGGUGCCAGUUAUCACAUAAGUCUGGUUUGCUUUUUACGUGAAUCAUAAUCUCAUAAGGCAACCUUUUCCUUACUGUGUGCUGCUUUGAUUUUGUGAUAGGAAUUCAGUUCAUUGUCCUUGCAAUAAUUUUUGCUCCUCUAGAGGGAGGUGUGCUCUUGAAUUCUAAUCGUUAACGUGCGGUGCAGGCUGCAUGAAUGGCGGGCAGGCUGUCGAUUGCUGGAACUUUAAGAUACGUGGGGUACAUAGGACUAAUCAAGGUGAUCUCUUUACAUUCCCCACAAAGAAGGAUUCAAUGAACUGAUGCUGAUGCUAGUGGGUGUGUGCUUGGUGGUUGAUUCCUUAGCUCCUGAGGAAAUAACUGCACAGUAACAUUUUCCAAAACUUACGGCUCAUUUAAUCGGGUUGUUUGUUUUACCUUAAAAUAAUACACAUCCUUCAAGAAGAGAGUAGCAACCACACAAAAAUAGACUUCUAAAUAGACUGGGAGUCUGACAUGCUGUUAGCUCGCUGAGACUCACUUCAUGUUUCCAGGCCUCAGUUUCCUGCUCUGUAAAAUAAAGAUGUUGGAGUGAUGACAUCUCUAGUCGUUCUGGAGCUGCGCUUUUCAAUAUGGUAGCCACUGGCCACAUGUGUGCUGAGCCUUUGCAGUGUGGCUAGUCUGGUUUGUAAGUAAAAUAGGCACUGGAUUUUGAAGACUCAGUAUGAAAAAGAUACAUAAAGUAACUUAGUAAUUCUUUAAUAUUUAUUACUUGUUUAAAUGAUAAUAUUUUGCUUAUAUCGGGU
Molecule: long non-coding RNA, 2486 nt
Organism: Equus caballus (horse)
Lineage: Eukaryota; Metazoa; Chordata; Mammalia; Perissodactyla; Equidae
Source: Ensembl